Anas platyrhynchos (mallard) is the source of this 1810-nucleotide long non-coding RNA. RefSeq lists it as uncharacterized. The record is from RefSeq and is a predicted model, not a curated record. Lineage: Eukaryota; Metazoa; Chordata; Aves; Anseriformes; Anatidae.
CUGCAGUUUCACAGAGAUAUGAAAUCAGUAGUUACUGGGCAGCUGUAUCUUAGCUGGUUGGAAAGUGACACAAUAUAUGCACUUGGCAUGCUUGGAAAGCACGUUUCUUUUCCCGGGAAAAGUACCAUAAAGUGUGACUUGGGUCUUAGCUUCAAAUGCCAGAGAUAUUAACAGAUUGCUACAAAGAGCUGAAGAACAGAGAAGACUAUGACCUCAGGAGGUGAUGGACUGAGAGGGGGGUGACAUACAGAUACGCUAGGAAGUACUUUAUGUGACUUCUGCAUUAUAUCUAGCCUAAGAAAUGAAUUCACAAGACUUCUAGAAAAACAAAACAAACAAACAAACAAAACCCCUACAUCUGGUUAAUCAGCAUCACAAUUCCGUAAUAGUAAUACUUUGAAGGGAAGUUACCAUAGAAAGAACUAAGAUGCAAGCAGCAAAGAAACACUGCAGUGGGACUGUGGAGAGGAUUUUGAUGUAAAAUAAUGAAAGGAUUCAAGUAUAAGAAUAUUAAUGCAAUUAGUGGCAUCAUGCAAUUGUAUCUGCAAAGUCCUAACUUUGUUCAGCAGAGAAGUGAUUUGGAGCAUACUGACUGUACAAGGGAUCUGUGUUAACUGGAAAGAAAAAAAACUUUGUUGACAAAGGUGCUGCCAGGACACUUGCCUAACUGAUGAGCUACUUUGUGAUCCGCAGCAAGGAAGGCCAAACUUCUGUGUCUCUCGUUUCACUUCACUGUUUAAUUAUUUCUCACUGAAGAGGCUGUCUCUUUUAACUGAUUUGUAUGAUAUAUAUAAUAGCUAACCCUUUGGCUCUAUUGCAUUAUUGUAAAUACUCACUGCAUGUGGUUUGUUUCUAAGAGCCUUCCAAACUUAAAAGGAAGCAAAAGCCUAUGAACUAUGCAAGUAGCUGAAUAUAGAUGCAAUAUUUUUGACAAGUGUCAGGCAAGAAGUUGCAACAAAUACAGAUAAAAUCCUGUAAUAACUUAAUACCAGACUGUUGUGCUGCAAAUUUUCUUUAUUGUCACAUGUUACAUUACAGGAGUUAUCAAGAGGGAAACUAGAAAUGUUGGCAGCUGCACAGAAGGUUAGACAGGGAUUUUGUCAUCCAUAGAGGGUUAACAUUUCUUAGGAGGACUCUAACCAGAGCCAUUUUAUCACUCUUCUCCAAGACAAUCUGCAUGUGCUGCUUGCAGCCCAGCAGUGAGAUAGAAGCAAGCUACUUCAUGUUUGUCUCUUUGAUAUACCAGAAGCGUUCAUUUUCCAUGGAAAUCUGGAUUUCUGUAGAAAUUCAUCCCAGCACUGUGGUUCAGCUACCUUGUCAAAAACAGCAAGCAAUGGAGCAAAAGAACAGACAAUGACAAUUGACAAGAAUCAGCAGAUAGGAACUCUCCCUGGCAGCAAUAGAAGAUAACAACAUCCUUCUGCUAUUCCUCCGUAUCAGUAGGUUAAUCCAGAAGGAGAGGGCAAGAUAAAUAUCACUAGAACGAUCAAGAAGCAGAAUAUAAAAGUUCAAGCUUUAUGCUGUACACUGCAGAUUCUGAAGGGGAAGUGCCAGGCUCGUCUUGUUGAGAUAAUGUGUUUUUAUGACUGUAGAUUGCAAGAAGAUGCACAUCUUUGAUGGACUUCAUUUACAGGCCAUUUUGGUCAGACUGGAAAAGGGAAGUUGUCAUUUGAGAAAUGUGGUGUCUCAUUCAGCCUGGCUUCACACAAUGCAAAUGCAUCCAUGUCCACAUGAAUGGCCAUGUGUCCCUCGAAGUUAGUUUGUACACGUAUUGACCAAUCAAUUCAAUUAAAAAGGGUUGAAAUCUCAC